Molecule: microRNA precursor, 97 nt
Filed under: Cajanus cajan (pigeon pea)
Lineage: Eukaryota; Viridiplantae; Streptophyta; Magnoliopsida; Fabales; Fabaceae
Description: miRNA gene-KK1_050551
Source: RNAcentral
UUACUAUAAAAAUAUAAUAAUAUAAAAUAAUUAUAUUACGAAUAAUAAUAAUAAUAAUAUAUUUAUUUAAUCUUUAUUUAUAUAUACUAACUUUUAU